RNAcentral lists this ribosomal RNA (253 nucleotides) under uncultured bacterium. Its description in RNAcentral is "partial 16S ribosomal RNA". It matches the Rfam family "Bacterial small subunit ribosomal RNA", at positions 524 to 776 of the family's 1533-position model. The record is from RNAcentral.
UACAGAGGGUGCGAGCGUUAAUCGGAAUUACUGGGCGUAAAGCGUGCGUAGACGGUUAUGUAAGUCAGAUGUGAAAGCCCCGGGCUUAACCUGGGAAUGGCAUUUGAGACUGCAUAGCUAGGGUGCGGAAGAGGGAAGCGGAAUUUCCGGUGUAGCGGUGAAAUGCGUAGAUAUCGGAAGGAACACCAGUGGCGAAAGCGGCUUCCUGGUCCAGCACCGACGUUCAGGCACGAAAGCGUGGGGAGCAAACAGG